AUCGAACGCUGGCGGCAGGCUUAACACAUGCAAGUCGAGCGGAUGAUGGCAGCUUGCAGCUGGAUUCAGCGGCGGACGGGUGAGUAACGCGUAGGCAUCUUCCUGGUAGCGGGGGAUAACGUCCGGAAACGGGCGCUAAUCCCGCAUACGUCCUGAGGGAGAAAGUGGGGGAUGUUCGGACCUUACGCUAUCAGAUGAGCCUAGGUCGGAUGAGCUAGUUGGUGGGGUAAAGGCCUACCAAGGCGACGAUCCGUAACCGGUCUGAGAGGAUGGACGGCCACACGGGAUGUGAGACACGGCAGCGACACCUAGGGUGGGCCGCGGUGGAGAAUAUUGGACGAUGGGGGAAAGCCUGAUCCAGCCAAGCCGGGUGAGUGCAGAAGGUCCUCGGAUGGGAGAGCGCUUUAGGUUGUGAGGAAGGACAGUAAUUUAAUACCUGACUGUAUUGACGGUACCGACAGAAUAAGCACCGGCUAACUUCGUG
RNAcentral lists this ribosomal RNA (484 nucleotides) under uncultured bacterium. RNAcentral's name for it is "partial 16S ribosomal RNA". It matches the Rfam family "Bacterial small subunit ribosomal RNA", at positions 29 to 507 of the family's 1533-position model. The record is from RNAcentral.